This 245-nucleotide ribosomal RNA is filed under the name uncultured bacterium. RNAcentral describes it as "partial 16S ribosomal RNA". It matches the Rfam family "Bacterial small subunit ribosomal RNA", at positions 28 to 273 of the family's 1533-position model. The record is from RNAcentral.
GACGAACGCUGGCGGCGUGCUUAACACAUGCAAGUCGAGCGGUAAGGCCCUUUCGGGGGUACGACGAGCGGCGAACGGGUGAGUAACACGUGGGUGACCUGCCCUCAGCUCUGGGAUAAGCCCGGGAAACUGGGUCUAAUACUGGAUAUGACUCCAUGACGCAUGUUGUGGGGUGGAAAGCCUUGUGCGGCUGAGGAUGGGCCCGCGGCCUAUCAGCUUGUUGGUGGGGGGAUGGCCUACCAAGG